CAUUAUUGAAUACUGAAUCGGUUCUGAUGCUGGCUCUUUACUGGGCAUGUGCUCGUCCGUUCAUAUUUACCUUCUCUUGUGCACAUUUUGUAGUCCUUUGGAACAAGUGAAUUUCGCGCUGCUGUGAUUAACUUCGCGGUGGUUGCGGUUUGGGGGAUUGGGUGUAACAGCCCUUCCUCUGUUUAUGCGCGUUGCUGCGAUUUACUUCGUGGUGACUGCGGUUUGGGGGUUGAGCGUCAGCACUUCCCCUCCUUUUGCUUUUUUCAAGGCUACGUUUUCAUAUACCCUAUACAAUGUUACAGAAUGUCUUUAAAGAUUGUGCUUGGUCGCAGUCAUUAAACCUAUACAACUUUCAGCAACGGAUCUCUUGGCUCUCCCAUCGAUGAAGAACGCAGCGAAAUGCGAUAAGUAAUGUGAAUUGCAGAAUUCAGUGAAUCAUCGAAUCUUUGAACGCACCUUGCGCCCUUUGGUAUUCCGAAGAGCAUGCCUGUUUGAGUGUCAUUAAAUUAUCAACCUUGUUCGCUUUUACGAGCUUGAGCGAGGCUUGGAUGUGAGGGCUUGCUGGCUUCCUUCAGUGGAUGGUCUGCUCCCUUUAAAUGCAUUAGUGGGAUCUCUUGUGGACCGUCACUUGGUGUGAUAAUUAUCUAUGCCAUUUGACUGUGAAGCAAAAUUAUGGGAACCUGCUUAUAACCGUCUCGCAAGGGACAAUUUAAUUGACUAUUUG
This 724-nucleotide ribosomal RNA is filed under the name uncultured fungus. RNAcentral describes it as "eukaryotic LSU rRNA". The stretch from base 348 to 501 matches the Rfam family "5.8S ribosomal RNA". Lineage: Eukaryota; Fungi. The record is from RNAcentral.